GGAGGACGGGCACUCGACCCUGCAACAACACACACUCAUGUUAGGAUGAGGCUCUACAAGUACAUGCAGGAUGGACCUUUUUCAAGGCAGGGCUCUUCCUGGGUGUAUGGCCUUCCUGAAGUGGGACAGGAGACAACAAGAACAACACAACCAGUGUGAUCCACAGCGGUCAACACCUAGCACCCCAUUAUAUACACGUGAUUGCUUUGAUAUUGAAUUCAAUGAAAACACCUCUAUUAAAUAAUCCUGUGUUCUGUGA
Gymnodraco acuticeps is the source of this 259-nucleotide long non-coding RNA. RefSeq lists it as uncharacterized. The record is from RefSeq and is a predicted model, not a curated record. The transcript is spliced from 2 exons. NCBI's taxonomy places the organism in Eukaryota, Metazoa, Chordata, Actinopteri, Perciformes, Bathydraconidae.